GGGUUCAGCUGUUCGCUGAUUAAAGAGGUACGUGAGUUGGGUUCAAUACGACGUGAGUCAGUAUGGUCCCUAUCUUCUGAAGGAAAUAAUUGUCAAAAGAGGUUCUCUCACUAGUACGAAAGGACCAUGAGGGAUGAUUCUAUGGUGUACCUAUUGUUA
RNAcentral lists this ribosomal RNA (159 nucleotides) under Rickettsiales bacterium. RNAcentral's name for it is "partial 23S ribosomal RNA". It matches the Rfam family "Bacterial large subunit ribosomal RNA", at positions 2569 to 2726 of the family's 2925-position model. Lineage: Bacteria; Pseudomonadati; Pseudomonadota; Alphaproteobacteria; Rickettsiales. The record is from RNAcentral.